This 232-nucleotide long non-coding RNA is filed under the name Fragaria vesca (wild strawberry). Its description in RNAcentral is "long non-coding RNA (FVES_LNC000435)". The record is from RNAcentral. Lineage: Eukaryota; Viridiplantae; Streptophyta; Magnoliopsida; Rosales; Rosaceae.
CUGCUCCAUUAUUCCUCCUCAUAAGUCUUGAUGCCUUGAAUUGAAUCAGCAACCCACUCGGCCUCCGCAAACGUUGCAUUGUAUGUAUGUAUCUUCACAUCAAAAUCCUCCUCGUGUUUUGGCCUCACCUACCUAGGCAUUAAAUGACCCACAUGACACCUGUCUUUUCUUUUCUUUCCCUUUUUGCCAUGUUUCUCAUGGAAUCGAGAUUUCGUUACAGGUCGAUUCCAUC